This 510-nucleotide ribosomal RNA is filed under the name uncultured bacterium. RNAcentral's name for it is "bacterial SSU rRNA". It matches the Rfam family "Bacterial small subunit ribosomal RNA", at positions 8 to 518 of the family's 1533-position model. The record is from RNAcentral.
AGAGUUUGAUUCUGGCUCAGGAUGAACGCUGGCGGCGUGCUUAACACAUGCAAGUCGAACGAAGCACUGGGUAUGAGACUUCGGGUGGAUUACCCUUGACUUAGUGGCGGACGGGUGAGUAACGCGUGGGUAACCUGCCGUAUGCAGGGGGACAACAGCUGGAAACGGCUGCUAAUACCGCGUAAGCGCACAGUACCGCAUGGUACGGUGUGAAAAGAUUUAUCGGCAUACGAUGGACCCGCGUCUGAUUAGGCAGUUGGUGGGGUAACGGCCUACCAAACCGACGAUACAGUAGCCGACCUGAGAGGGUGACCGGCCACAUUGGGACUGAGACACGGCCCAAACUCCUACGGGAGGCAGCAGUGGGGAAUAUUGCACAAUGGGGGAAACCCUGAUGCAAGCGACGCCGCGUGAGUGAAGAAGUAUUUCGGUAUGUAAAGCUCUAUCAGCAGGGAAGAAGAUGACGGUACCUGCACAAGAAGCCCCGGCUAACUACGUGCCAGCCGCGGC